This 368-nucleotide ribosomal RNA is filed under the name uncultured organism. Its description in RNAcentral is "bacterial SSU rRNA". It matches the Rfam family "Bacterial small subunit ribosomal RNA", at positions 526 to 896 of the family's 1533-position model. The record is from RNAcentral.
CGGAGGGUGCGAGCGUUAUCCGGAUUUACUGGGUUUAAAGGGUGUGUAGGCGGGCUUUUAAGUCAGUGGUGAAAUCUCCGGGCUCAACCUGGAAACUGCCAUUGAUACUAUUAGUCUUGAAUUUUGUUGAGGUAGGCGGAAUAAGUCAUGUAGCGGUGAAAUGCUUAGAUAUGACUUAGAACACCAAUUGCGAAGGCAGCUUGCUAAACAAAUAUUGACGCUGAGGCACGAAAGCGUGGGGAUCAAACAGGAUUAGAUACCCUGGUAGUCCACGCCCUAAACGAUGAUUACUCGACAUACGCGAUACACAGUGUGUGUCUGAGCGAAAGCAUUAAGUAAUCCACCUGGGAAGUACGACCGCAAGGUUG